GGAAAGAUGCCGGAGUGGUCGAACGGGGCGGUCUCGAAAACCGUUAACCGCUUACGCGGUUCCAGGGUUCGAAUCCCUGUCUUUCCG
Molecule: transfer RNA, 87 nt
Filed under: Muribaculaceae bacterium
Lineage: Bacteria; Pseudomonadati; Bacteroidota; Bacteroidia; Bacteroidales; Muribaculaceae
Also listed under: 1 other name
Description: tRNA-Ser
Rfam family: tRNA
About the family: Transfer RNA (tRNA) molecules are approximately 80 nucleotides in length. Their secondary structure includes four short double-helical elements and three loops (D, anti-codon, and T loops). Further hydrogen bonds mediate the characteristic L-shaped molecular structure. tRNAs have two regions of fundamental functional importance: the anti-codon, which is responsible for specific mRNA codon recognition, and the 3' end, to which the tRNAs corresponding amino acid is attached (by aminoacyl-tRNA synthetases). tRNAs cope with the degeneracy of the genetic code in two manners: having more than one tRNA (with a specific anti-codon) for a particular amino acid; and 'wobble' base-pairing, i.e. permitting non-standard base-pairing at the 3rd anti-codon position.
Source: RNAcentral